RNAcentral lists this ribosomal RNA (450 nucleotides) under uncultured bacterium. RNAcentral's name for it is "partial 16S ribosomal RNA". It matches the Rfam family "Bacterial small subunit ribosomal RNA", at positions 354 to 796 of the family's 1533-position model. The record is from RNAcentral.
GUGGGGAAUUUUGGACAAUGGGCGCAAGCCUGAUCCAGCAAUGCCGCGUGCAGGAAGAAGGCCUUCGGGUUGUAAACUGCUUUUGUACGGAACGAAACGGUCCGGGUUAAUACCCUGGGCUAAUGACGGUACCGUAAGAAUAAGCACCGGCUAACUACGUGCCAGCAGCCGCGGUAAUACGUAGGGUGCAAGCGUUAAUCGGAAUUACUGGGCGUCAAGCGUGCGCAGGCGGUUUUGUAAGACAGGCGUGAAAUCCCCGGGCUCAACCUGGGAAUUGCGCUUGUGACUGCAAGGCUGGAGUGCGGCAGAGGGGGAUGGAAGUCCGCGUGUAGCAGUGAAAUGCGUAGAUAUGCGGAGGAACACCGAUGGCGAAGGCAAUCCCCUGGACCUGUACUGACGCUCAUGCACGAAAGCGUGGGGAGCAAACAGGAUUAGAUACCCGGGUAGUCC